Molecule: long non-coding RNA, 947 nt
Organism: Brassica napus (rape)
Lineage: Eukaryota; Viridiplantae; Streptophyta; Magnoliopsida; Brassicales; Brassicaceae
Exons: 2
Source: RefSeq, a predicted model, not a curated record
UUUGCUUAUUCUAAGAUCUAUUAUAUAAAAGACAAUUUGUUCUCUUCUCCUUAGGACAUCUAAGGGCACCCCGACUCUUAAGGGGUUUUAAGAGGUAUGAGACCCACAAAAAACUAAAAUCCACCCUUUAUUCCUCUUCUGCAAGAGGCGAGUUUGGUGGAGUUUUUGUACUGUUUGCGGGUCUUACUGACACGUGGCGGUCCGCGAUUGGUCCGUUUUUAAUUUUUAAUUUUUUUUACUCGGAAAAAAAAAACCUAAGAACCCACAACCCCCCCCUAAGCGUUAAUCAUGCUCUAAGAUUCUACCUAGAUAAAUUGAGCUCUACACGUGUCACAGAAAAUUGAAACUCGGCGUUUCAUUUAAUGGGAUGUGUAAUGGAUUUGGACUUCAGUUUGUAUACAUGCUUUAUGUUUUGGCUUGAUGGACCCAAACAGAAUAAAGAGCAACUUGAUAUGUAAUGAAACACGACGUUUUUGAUUUAGGGCUGGACUUCUUUAUCUCCGCCGUACGAGAGUGAUCUUUGGUUUCCAAAGCGUUCUUUCAUCUUCAUCCUGAGAGGCAACUGUUCAUCCUCUUAAAGUCGUUGCUUAAAUCUAUUACCCACGAUCUCUCGUCCGACGCGGUGGCGAACUUAUGGGAAUCGAUAUGAUGCUACUUGAUUAACAGGCGACCAUGAAAACGUAUUCGUUUUGUUUUGGCGACAGAGCGCAAGAAUACAGAGGUUGAAUUCUCCUUCUCGGUUAAGAAUCUUGCAAACUAUGAUUCUGAUGUCUCGGAGGUACUGAUAAAGAAGAGAGACAAAGGUUUCCACACAGUAAGCAUUGAUCUUUAUGCUUUGCUUGCGCAAAAAAUUAUGGUAGAGUAGAUGAUCAAUAUUAUAGUCUCUAAGACGCAUGCAUUAGACAUGUAUAAGAAAUUGCUUUUUUUAAUUAAUACUUUUUUCACGA